This 426-nucleotide ribosomal RNA is filed under the name uncultured prokaryote. Its description in RNAcentral is "bacterial SSU rRNA". It matches the Rfam family "Bacterial small subunit ribosomal RNA", at positions 355 to 796 of the family's 1533-position model. The record is from RNAcentral.
UGGGGAAUUUUCCGCAAUGGGGGCAACCCUGACGGAGCAACGCCGCGUGCGGGAGGAAGGCCUUUGGGUUGUAAACCGCUUUUCUCAGGGAAGAAGCUCUGACGGUACCUGAGGAAUCAGCCUCGGCUAACUCCGUGCCAGCAGCCGCGGUAAUACGGAGGAGGCAAGCGUUAUCCGGAAUCAUUGGGCGUAAAGCGUUCGCAGGCGGCGAUUCAAGUCUGCUGUCAAAGCCCGCAGCUCAACUGCGGACAGGCAGUGGAAACUGAAUCGCUAGAGUGCGGCAGGGGUAGAGGGAAUUCCUAGUGUAGCGGUGAAAUGCGUAGAGAUUAGGAAGAACACCGGUGGCGAAAGCGCUCUGCUAGGCCGCAACUGACACUGAGGGACGAAAGCUAGGGGAGCGAAUGGGAUUAGAUACCCGUGUAGUCC